UCCGCUGGGUAUUUUUGCGCGUCAAAACAUUGCGUCUCUGCAGGACUUACCAGGGCCAGCGAGAAGAAGAAAUUUGCCUGGGAAGGAAUGCGAAAGGGGGUUUAGGAUUGGCACUGCCACGAGGAAAACGAGGAGGUGCGACAUUUUUUAGACUACGUGGAUAUCCGCUUUUUCUUCCCCUCAGAGGUGUUCACCUCCCAACCCACCGCCCACCACGGCCCUCACCUGUGUGUUGCGGUGCUUCCCCUGUGAGCCGACCUGGGCUGGCAGUCCCUUCUUGCACCGCCCGCCAACCCCGCCCAUGGUCAGAAUGACGCGCUCCAAGACCUUCCAGGCAUAUCUGCCGAGCUGCCACCGAACCUACAGCUGCAUCCACUGCCGAGCUCACCUGGCCAACCACGACGAGCUCAUCUCCAAGUCGUUCCAGGGCAGCCAAGGCAGAGCCUACCUGUUCAACUCAGUGGUGAACGUCGGGUGUGGCCCUGCAGAGGAGAGAGUUCUGCUCACAGGCCUGCAUGCUGUAGCGGAUAUCUACUGUGAGAACUGCAAGACGACCCUGGGCUGGAAAUACUUUCUUAGUGGUGAGAGACACAUUUCUGCCAAGAUGUGAUGAUCCAGUCCAGUCAGAAUUUUGGUUCUGCAGGCUGUUGUGCAGUGUUUAGUGACUGACGGUUAUAUAACCAGCUUCCAAAGUGCCAGUAGCAGACAGGCCAGGAUUGAGUCAAGGAUUUUCAUAUACAGCUGAAGACUGUCAUGAGCAGUUUUCUAAGCUACGAACAUGCCUUUGAGAGCAGUCAGAAGUAUAAAGAGGGCAAGUUCAUCAUCGAGCUGGCCCACAUGAUCAAGGACAACGGCUGGGACUGACGGACGAGCAGCCGGG
This is an RNA transcript of Micropterus dolomieu (smallmouth bass), 880 nucleotides long. It is a transcript of the gene named yippee-like 2b, with no coding region annotated. The transcript is spliced from 6 exons. The record is from RefSeq and is a predicted model, not a curated record. Lineage: Eukaryota; Metazoa; Chordata; Actinopteri; Centrarchiformes; Centrarchidae.